RNAcentral lists this ribosomal RNA (492 nucleotides) under uncultured bacterium. RNAcentral describes it as "partial 16S ribosomal RNA". It matches the Rfam family "Bacterial small subunit ribosomal RNA", at positions 29 to 507 of the family's 1533-position model. The record is from RNAcentral.
AGUGAACGCUGGCGGUAUGCCUAACACAUGCAAGUCGAACGGCAGCACCGUAAGCGCUUGCUCUUACGGGUGGCGAGUGGCGGACGGGUGAGGAAUACAUCGGCCUCUACUUUUUCGUGGGUGAUAACGUAGGGAAACUUACCCUAAUACCGCAUACUACCUACGGGUGAAAGCAGGGGAUCUUCGGACCUUGCGCGUUUGAUUGAGCCGAUUUCGGUUUAGGUAGUUGGCGGGGUAAAGGCCCACCAAGGCGACGAUCCGUAGCUGGUCUGAGAGGAUGAUCAGCCACACUGGAACGGAGACACGGUCCAGAGUCCUACGGGAGGCAGCAGUGGGGAAUGUUGGGCAAUGGGCGCAAGCAUGAUCCAGCGAUACCGCGUGUGAGAAGAAGGCCUUCGGGUCGUAAAGCCCGUUUGUUGGGAAAGAAAAGCAGUAGGUUAAUACGACGCUGUUCUGACGGUACCCAAAGAAUAAGCACCGGCUAACUUCGUG